AACGAACGCUGGCGGCAGGCUUAACACAUGCAAGUCGAGCGCCCCGCAAGGGGAGCGGCAGACGGGUGAGUAACGCGUGGGAAUCUACCCAUCCCUACGGAAUAGCUCCGGGAAACUGGAAUUAGUACCGUAUACGCCCUACGGGGGAAAGAUUUAUCGGGGAUGGAUGAGCCCGCGUUGGAUUAGCUAGUUGGUGGGGUAAAGGCCUACCAAGGCGACGAUCCAUAGCUGGUCUGAGAGGAUGAUCAGCCACAUUGGGACUGAGACACGGCCCAAACUCCUACGGGAGGCAGCAGUGGGGAAUAUUGGACAAUGGGGGCAACCCUGAUCCAGCCAUGCCGCGUGAGUGAUGAAGGCCUUAGGGUUGUAAAGCUCUUUCACCGGGGAAGAUAAUGACGGUACCCGGAGAAGAAGCCCCGGCUAACUUCGUGCCAGCCGCCGCCUGUAA
Molecule: ribosomal RNA, 448 nt
Filed under: uncultured bacterium
Lineage: Bacteria
Description: partial 16S ribosomal RNA
Rfam family: Bacterial small subunit ribosomal RNA
Source: RNAcentral